AGAGUUUGAUCAUGGCUCAGGAUGAACGCUGGCGGCGUGCUUAACACAUGCAAGUCGAACGAAGCAUUUUAGAUGAAGUUUUCGGACGGAUUUUGGGAUGACUGAGUGGCGGACGGGUGAGUAACGCGUGGGCAACCUGCCCUGUACAGGGGGAUAACAGCCGGAAACGGCUGCUAAUACCGCAUAAGCGCACAGGACCGCAUGGUCUGGUGUGAAAAGCUCCGGUGGUACAGGAUGGGCCCGCGUCUGAUUAGGCAGUUGGCGGGGUGACGGCCCACCAAACCGACGAUCAGUAGCCGACCUGAGAGGGUGACCGGCCACAUUGGGACUGAGACACGGCCCAAACUCCUACGGGAGGCAGCAGUGGGGAAUAUUGCACAAUGGGCGCAAGCCUGAUGCAGCGACGCCGCGUGAGCGAAGAAGUAUUUCGGUAUGUAAAGCUCUAUCAGCAGGGAAGAAGAUGACGGUACCUGCACAAGAAGCUCCGGCUAAAUACGUGCCAGCAGCCGCGGUAAUACGUAUGGAGCAAGCGUUAUCCGGAUUUACUGGGUGUAAAGGGAGCGUAGACGGCAUGGCAAGUCUGGUGUGAAAGACCGGGGCUCAACCCCGGGCCUGCAUUGGAAACUGUCAGGCUGGAGUGCCGGAGAGGUAAGCGGAAUUCCUAGUGUAGCGGUGAAAUGCGUAGAUAUUAGGAGGAACACCAGUGGCGAAGGCGGCUUACUGGACGGUAACUGACGUUGAGGCUCGAAGGCGUGGGGAGCAAACAGGAUUAGAUACCCUGGUAGUCCACGCGGUAAACG
RNAcentral lists this ribosomal RNA (800 nucleotides) under uncultured bacterium. Its description in RNAcentral is "bacterial SSU rRNA". It matches the Rfam family "Bacterial small subunit ribosomal RNA", at positions 8 to 808 of the family's 1533-position model. The record is from RNAcentral.